This 240-nucleotide long non-coding RNA is filed under the name Vigna radiata. RNAcentral describes it as "long non-coding RNA (VRAD_LNC012908)". The record is from RNAcentral. Lineage: Eukaryota; Viridiplantae; Streptophyta; Magnoliopsida; Fabales; Fabaceae.
CGAGGAAUGUGAGUUCCAUCACCCUUAGAUCAGGGAAGUAGAAUGUUGUUCCCACAGAGCCAACUCCCACACCUGCGACCUGUCACAGAAAAGAGGACCAGACUGGUCCAAGCAGGACAUUUGAGGUGGGUGGACCUUCUUCCUCUCCCGGUGGUUCUUUUUACCUCUAGGUGGAUCUUCUUCUUCUUCCACCACCACCGCCACCAGUGUGCCUCCUCCAUUGCCUGAGCGACCUAUACC